AUGACGUUUCCAGAAGAUCCAUCACACAUUCCUUUUUUCCUAACCAUAUCCUUUUACAACCGUUCCUGGACACAAAAAUCUGGGUUCAGCUUGGCUGGAUGAGCUGCAGACUCAUGGCUGGGACAACAAGACUGAUGCUUUCAUUUUCAUUUGGCCUUUGUCUAAAGGCAACUGGAGCAAGGAGGAGCUGAUGAAAUUGGAAAAGUUUUUCUAUGUAUACUCCAUUGGAUUUUGUCAGGUGUUUCAAGACCAUGUCAGACAUUGGCAGCUUGAAUUGAGGCCAGAGGCCUGGCUGUCCACCGGCCCCAGUCCUGGUCUUGGCCGUCUGCUGCUGGUGUGUCAUGUCUCUGGCUUCUACCCAAAGCCUGUGUGGGUGAUGUGGAUGCGGGGUGAGCAGGAGCAACAGGGCACCCAGCAAGGCAAUGUCCUGCCCAGUGCUGAUGGGACAUGGUAUAUUCAGAUCUUCUUGGAUGUGAAAGCCAGUGACGCAACUGGCCUGUCAUGCCUGGUGAGGCACAGCAGUCUAGGAGGCCAGGACAUUGUUCUCUCCUGGGAGCAGCCCCACUCCAUGGGCUUGGUUCUCCUGGUGGUGUUGGUGCCCCUGGUGCUUCUGGCAGGCCUGGCGUUGUGGCUCUGGAAGCGCUGGAACUGGAGGACCUCAGUGCACUGGCUUCCAUUUGGAGCGACAUCCCAGCGGCUCAGGCUACAGUACUUACCUAAACCCAGCUCAGCGUGCGACCGCCCUUCUGGGACAAACCUGCACCAGUCCCAGUGUGGCGAGACACUCCCCCAGACUACCAGCAUGGGUACCUGA
RNA transcript from Zalophus californianus (California sea lion), 814 nucleotides. It is a transcript of the gene named T-cell surface glycoprotein CD1a-like, with no coding region annotated. Lineage: Eukaryota; Metazoa; Chordata; Mammalia; Carnivora; Otariidae. The record is from RefSeq and is a predicted model, not a curated record. The transcript has 5 exons.